AACCCAUGAUGAGGACACCUUCUCAGGAGAUCAUUAAAUCUCUCCCAUACAACAUAUAAUGUCUCAAGCUCAAGUUAAGCAAAAAAGGAGAUGUCAUUCCUCACCUU
Non-coding RNA from Gossypium hirsutum (cotton), 107 nucleotides. Lineage: Eukaryota; Viridiplantae; Streptophyta; Magnoliopsida; Malvales; Malvaceae. The record is from Rfam.